UACCAAGGAGAGGCACAGAUUUGAGGGCAGGCUUGGCAUGACCAACAGAAGGCUUGUGAGCCCCCUUGUGCAUUGGGCAUUGAUGGAGGGAGGGCAGAGUCUGACCAUCCUUACGAGGACUCCAGGCCUCUUCUGUGAGGCCUCUGGGUGGAUACCUUCUGUGACACUGGAGUCAUCGCAUGACCCUCUCAACCUGAGUGUUCCUCACCUACCAACCGACACCUACCACCCAGACUGUCAAAAUUGUACCAUCCUGAGAGGUAACUUCAUCAUUCCUAACUUCCAUGGGUGAGAUCUGAGGCUCUGAGAAGGCACCUGCCUUGUCCAAGUUCACCCAGUUUGUAAGUUCCUGUUUCUAACAUGCCGUGGGACAGGAGACCAAGCACUUAUGGACAUUUGAAUUCCGUGUAAAAGAAGAGUGAAGAAGCUCUGAACCAGGAGAAAACACACAGAGACACCUCGGAAAGAAAGCUGCAUGAAGGCAGAAGAAGACAUUGGACAGAUGCAGCUGUGAGCCAAGGACUGCCAGCAACCAGCAGAAGCCCUCGGAGAGGCACGCAAUCGACUUUCCCUCAGGUCUUCCAGAAGGAACCAGCCCUACCGGCACAGUGAUUUUGGACCUCUGGCUUCUAGAACUGUACUCAAAUAAACUCCUGGUGUUUUA
This is a long non-coding RNA of Camelus dromedarius (Arabian camel), 664 nucleotides long. RefSeq lists it as uncharacterized. The record is from RefSeq and is a predicted model, not a curated record. The transcript is spliced from 4 exons. Lineage: Eukaryota; Metazoa; Chordata; Mammalia; Artiodactyla; Camelidae.